AAGCGACCAAUUCAAAGCGCCGGAAUGGGGUAGCAAACCGGCCGCGUUGGACCCGCGCAAGUCGGCGUCCCCGCCCCCCUGAGUCGCCCGGGCCUGCCCAUGCGU
RNAcentral lists this small RNA (105 nucleotides) under Mycobacterium parmense. RNAcentral's name for it is "Mycobacterium sRNA ncrMT1302". It matches the Rfam family "Mycobacterium sRNA ncrMT1302". Lineage: Bacteria; Bacillati; Actinomycetota; Actinomycetes; Mycobacteriales; Mycobacteriaceae. The record is from Rfam by way of RNAcentral.